UAGAGGCCUACCAUGGUGGUAACGGGUAACGGGGUGUUAGGGCACGACACCGGAGAGGGAGCCUGAGAAACGGCUACCACAUCCAAGGAUGGCAGCAGGCGCGCAAAUUACCCAAUCCCGACACGGGGAGGUAGUGACAAUAAAUAACAAUACGGGGUUCUUUAGGAUCUCGUAAUUGGAAUGAGUACAAUUUAAAUCUCUUAACGAGGAACAAUUGGAGGGCAAGUCUGGUGCCAGCAGCCGCGGUAAUUCCAGCUCCAAUAGCGUAUAUUAAAGUUGUUGCAGUUAAAAAGCUCGUAGUUGAAUUUCGGGGUUAGUAGGUUGGUCAUGCCUCUGGUAUGUACUGGUCUCACUGAUUCCUCCUUCCUUAUGAACCGUAAUGCCAUUAAUUUGGUGUUGCGGGGAAUUUGGACUGUUACUUUGAAAAAAUUAGAGUGUUUAAAGCAAGCUAACGCUUGAAUACAUUAGCAUGGAAUAAUGAAAUAGGACGUUCGAUCCUAUUUUGUUGGUUUCUAGGAUUGACGUAAUGAUUAAUAGGGAUAGUUGGGGGCAUUAGUAUUCAAUUGUCAGAGGUGAAAUUCUUGGAUUUAUUGAAGACUAACUACUGCGAAAGCAUUUGCCAAGGAUGUUUUCAUUAAUCAAGAACGAAAGUUAGGGGAUCGAAGACGAUCAGAUACCGUCGUAGUCUUAACCAUAAACUAUGCCGACUAGGGAUCG
This 717-nucleotide ribosomal RNA is filed under the name uncultured fungus. Its description in RNAcentral is "SSU rRNA". It matches the Rfam family "Eukaryotic small subunit ribosomal RNA", at positions 334 to 1055 of the family's 1831-position model. The record is from RNAcentral. Lineage: Eukaryota; Fungi.